This 1426-nucleotide ribosomal RNA is filed under the name uncultured bacterium. RNAcentral's name for it is "16S ribosomal RNA". It matches the Rfam family "Bacterial small subunit ribosomal RNA". The record is from RNAcentral.
CUCAUGAUGAACGCUAGCUACAGGCUUAACACAUGCAAGUCGAGGGGCAGCAUGGUCUUAGCUUGCUAAGGCCGAUGGCGACCGGCGCACGGGUGAGUAACACGUAUCCAACUUGCCGUCUACUCUUGGACAGCCUUCUGAAAGGAAGAUUAAUACAAGAUGGCAUCAUGAGUCCGCAUGUUCACAUGAUUAAAGGUAUUCCGGUAGACGAUGGGGAUGCGUUCCAUUAGAUAGUAGGCGGGGUAACGGCCCACCUAGUCUUCGAUGGAUAGGGGUUCUGAGAGGAAGGUCCCCCACAUUGGAACUGAGACACGGUCCAAACUCCUACGGGAGGCAGCAGUGAGGAAUAUUGGUCAAUGGGCGAGAGCCUGAACCAGCCAAGUAGCGUGAAGGAUGACUGCCCUAUGGGUUGUAAACUUCUUUUAUAAAGGAAUAAAGUCGGGUAUGGAUACCCGUUUGCAUGUACUUUAUGAAUAAGGAUCGGCUAACUCCGUGCCAGCAGCCGCGGUAAUACGGAGGAUCCGAGCGUUAUCCGGAUUUAUUGGGUUUAAAGGGAGCGUAGAUGGAUGUUUAAGUCAGUUGUGAAAGUUUGCGGCUCAACCGUAAAAUUGCAGUUGAUACUGGAUAUCUUGAGUGCAGUUGAGGCAGGCGGAAUUCGUGGUGUAGCGGUGAAAUGCUUAGAUAUCACGAAGAACUCCGAUUGCGAAGGCAGCCUGCUAAGCUGCAACUGACAUUGAGGCUCGAAAGUGUGGGUAUCAAACAGGAUUAGAUACCCUGGUAGUCCACACGGUAAACGAUGAAUACUCCGCUGUUUGCGAUAUACUGCAAGCGGCCAAGCGAAAGCGUUAAGUAUUCCACCUGGGGAGUACGCCGGCAACGGUGAAACUCAAAGGAAUUGACGGGGGCCCGCACAAGCGGAGGAACAUGUGGUUUAAUUCGAUGAUACGCGAGGAACCUUACCCGGGCUUAAAUUGCAGAUGAAUUACGGUGAAAGCCGUAAGCCGCAAGGCAUCUGUGAAGGUGCUGCAUGGUUGUCGUCAGCUCGUGCCGUGAGGUGUCGGCUUAAGUGCCAUAACGAGCGCAACCCUUGUUGUCAGUUACUAACAGGUUUUGAUGAGGACUCUGACAAGACUGCCAUAGUAAGAUGUGAGGAAGGUGGGGAAGACGUCAAAUCAGCACGGCCCUUACGUCCGGGGCUACACACGUGUUACAAUGGGGGGUACAGAGGGCCGCUACCACGCGAGUGGAUGCCAAUCCCCAAAACCUCUCUCAGUUCGGACUGGAGUCUGCAACCCGACUCCACGAAGCUGGAUUUGUUAGUAAUCGCGCAUCAGCCAAGGCGCGGUGAAUACGUUCCCGGGCCUUGUACACACCGCCCGUCAAGUCAUGGGAGCCGGGGGUACCUGAAGUGCGUAACCGCGAGGAG